RNAcentral lists this non-coding RNA (27 nucleotides) under Homo sapiens (human). The record is from RNAcentral. Lineage: Eukaryota; Metazoa; Chordata; Mammalia; Primates; Hominidae.
UGCUCCACGCAGAAUGAGACGAUGGCC